AACAUGGUACAUCACUACCUGUAUUGGUAUUCCAUUUUGACAAUGCUGCUAGCUAGAAUAGAAAUAACAUCUUGCUGUGGUAUGGUCUGUGGAGAGUUUUACUAGGAUAUCACAGAUGGAUUGAAUAUUCAACAAUGAUCACAGACCAUGCAAAGUUUGAAUCUGACUUGCACUUUUGAAUUUAGAAGAAUCUGUGGAGGAGGGUGAAUGCUGAGACCUUUAAUAAUACAUGAUAUUGCUGACACAGUGUGUCAGUCAUCAAAGAAAUAUCAUAACAACACAGUUGGUCAACAAAGAUUUAAAUCCUGUCACAUUCUACCAGUGGAGAAAUAUCUUAUCACAAUAUUUAAACUUUUGAAGAAGAUAACCAAAUAUUACCACUUGAUCUUGUCUGCAGAAACACCUGGAUUGUUAGUCUUAAAAGUGACAGUACAGUUAACUUACUAAAAUCUACUUCCUCUUGCCAAACGAAUAUUAUUGACAUGGAAUGACACAAGCCUGACAAUGGUACCUGUAUGAACUCAUAAGAGAAUAGUAUUUGUCUGAAAAGUCAAAGGAUUCGUUUUGUCCCAAACCACUUGAACUGAAAUUGGAUUGACGAGGAUUUUUCUGAGAACUGAAAAAGAAAGUGAAUAUAAAAGAUAGAAAUUGUUGAUGAAUUCACAACGUUUUAAUAUACAACACUUUAGCCUGUUUUGCUGUUCAUAUAGAUGUGUUUAGCUGUUAAGGUUAAACAUCAAGUAAAGGUUGUAGUUUCAGUUACCUACAUUAAAGUAUUGGCUGGAAAUAAAUAUUUACUUUUCA
Molecule: long non-coding RNA, 804 nt
Organism: Mercenaria mercenaria
Lineage: Eukaryota; Metazoa; Mollusca; Bivalvia; Venerida; Veneridae
Exons: 2
Source: RefSeq, a predicted model, not a curated record